Non-coding RNA from Microcebus murinus (gray mouse lemur), 3833 nucleotides. NCBI's taxonomy places the organism in Eukaryota, Metazoa, Chordata, Mammalia, Primates, Cheirogaleidae. The record is from RefSeq and is a predicted model, not a curated record.
GUGUCUUCAUGUGGUCUUUCUUCUCAGUAAAUGUGUCCUCAUCUCUUCUUAUAGGGCCAGUAGUUGUAUUGGAUUAGGAUCCACCCAAAUGACCUAAUUUUAGGUUAACCACCUUUUUAAAGGACCUAUCUCAAAAUAUGAUCACAUUUUGAGAUACUGGAGAUUAGAAUUUCAAAAUAAAAAUUGAGGGGGACAAAAUUAAGCCCAUAAUAAUGGGCAAAGGAUCUGGAUAGACAUUUCUCCAAAGAAGACAUACAAAUUGCUAAUAAACACGUGACAAGAUGUUCAGCAUCAGUAGGCAUCAGGGAAAUGUCAAUCAAAACCACAAUGAGCUCCCACUCCACGCGCACUAGGAUGCUAUAAUCAAAAGACAUAAUAAUAAGUGUCGGUGAGGAUACAGAGGAAUUGGAGCUGCCAUACAUUGCUGGUGAGAAUGUAAAAUGGUCUAUCCCUUUUGGAAAAUGGUCUAGUGGUUCCUCAAAAGGUAAAAUACACAGUUACCACAUAACUCAGAAAUUCCAGUCUCAGGUAUAUACCGGAGAAAAUGAAAGCUUCCACCCUCCUGAAAACUUGCGCACAUGUUUAUAGCAGCAUUAUUCAUAAUAGCUACUAAGUAAAAGCAACCCAAAUGUCCACCAACUGGUGAAUGGGUAAGUAAAGUGUUGUCCACCCAUACAAUGGAAUCUUAUUCAGCAAUAAAAGGAAUGAAGUGCUGAUACACGCUACAACAUGGGGUUACCUUGAAAACAUUCCACUAAAUGACGGAAGCCAGUCACAAAAGACCACGUAUCAUGUGAUUGCAUUUAUAUGAAAUAUCCCCAAAAGGCAAAUAUAUAGACAGAAAGUAGGUUGAUGGUUGCCAAGGGAUGGAGGAUGGAGGGUAGGGGAAUGCAGAGUAACUGGUAGUGGGUACUGGGUUUCUUUUUGGAGUAAUGAAAUGUUUUAAAAUUUAUUUUAGCAGUGAUGUGGUGUGGUGAUUUAUAGUUCUGAACAUAUGAAAAACCACUGUAUUAUGUACUCGAAACAGGUGAAUUUUGUAGUAUGUGACAUAUGUCUCAAUAAAUCUGUAUAGAAAAAGUUAUAAAAGGACAUUUUACCAACGAAUUUACAGUCAUGUGUCACUCACUGACAGGGAUAUGUUCUGAGAAACGCAUUGUUAGGUGAUCUCAUCGUGUGAACAUCACAGAGUGCACUUGCACAAACCCAGAUGCGGUGUAUCCUCUGCACACCGCCUGCCUGGCGCAGCCCGUUGCUCCCAGGCCACAUAUCUGCACAGCGUGUCACUGUGCUGAAUACUGUAGGCAGCUGUAACACAUGGGAAGGGUUUGUGUAUCUAAACAUAGAAAAGGUACAGUAAAAAUAUGGUAUUAUAAUCUUAUGGGACCUCUGUCAUAUCUGUUGUCUGUCAUUGAAGUUAUGUGGCCCAUGACUGUAUAUGAAAAUUCAAUAAGCACAUGAAAACAUCCUUAGAUAAUAGGGAAAUGGAAAUUAAAACGCAAUGGAUGCUACUUCAUGCCCUAAGGAAUGUCUGCAAUCAAAAAGACAGUCAAUAACAAGUGUUGAGAGAGAAUAUGGAGAAACUGGGCCCUCAUACAUUGUUGGUGGGAAUGUAAAAUGACAUCUUCACAACACUUUUCCAGUUUCUUAAAAUGUUAGACAUAGUUUUACCAUAUGACCCACUGAUUCUACUCUCAGGUACACCCAGGAGAAAUUAAAAUGUAUGUCCACAUAAAGAUUUGCAUGUGAAUAUUCAUAGCAUCAUUUUCCAUAAUAGCCAAAAAGUGGAAACAACUCAAAUGUCCAUCAACUAGUAAUUGGACAAACAAUAUGUGCUCUAUCCAUUCAAUGGAUACUGUUCAACAAUAGAAGGAAUGAAGUAGUGAUGCAUGCUACGGUAUGAACGGACCUUGAAAUCAUUACACUAGGUGAAAGAAGCCAUAUAUUGUAUAUUUACGUUUAUAUGAAAUGCCCAGAAAAGGCAACUCUAUAGAAGCAGAUAUUGGGUUCAUGGUUCCAUGGAGCAGAGGGCAGUGAGGUGGGUGACUGCAAAUGGAAAUGAGCUUUGCUGUUGGUGCGGUAGAAACGUUCUAACAUUAGAUUGUGGUGAUGGUUGCUCAACUCUGUAAGUGUUCUAAAAAUAAUUGAAUCAUACACUUAAAAUGAGUGAAUAUUAUUGUAUAUAAACUAUAUCUCAGUAAAGCUGUCUUAAAAAAUGACCAAGAGGUUUGGGAGUCGGGCUGUUGGCGGGUGCGUGGUGACUGGAACGAGGGCCACGUGACAGGAGCUGGUGAGGAGCAGCCAGAGCAGCAGGAGCAGUGAACGUUGGGUGCGGCUGACGAAUUGCUGGAGGCAGUGAGGUGCAAAGACAGGAGCUGAUAAUCGGAAAAUGGGAUGAUUGAAGUUGAGUUCAUUGUUGGAUUGAUAAUGAAAAAUUUAAAAAUGUAAUCAUGGAUGGCAGUGAGUGGCUCUGGUUGCAUAGAGAGGAAGAUCAUUGGAAGUAAGGAGGGAAAGUGACUAAAGGAUCGUUUAUGAUGAUGCCAAGAGUUACAACAGUAGUCCUGGAGUGAGUGGUAAUGACAGGGGAACUAAAAUCUUCAGGGAACACCCCAGCGGAGAGAUGACUGCUACAAAGAUGAGUAAUAAGUCCAGUAGCGUUAAGACAGGAGAUUCACAGGUGGAGUUAAGAGGGAGAGGGUAUUGUCUUGAAGCAGGAAGAGAUAGGAUCAGAACAGGUUAUAGUUGGAUUAUAUAUCUAUAGAGGCAAAACCCCAAAAAACAACCUGAAUGGUUUUGGUACUAGUCAAACAAGUUCUAGUACAUCUGCAGCUUGUAUUGAAUGUGAUGUAUUGUUAUAGUAGCAAUCUAAGAGGAAGGUAAAGCUGGUCAGCUGAGUGGCCUGAGAACAUAUUAAUAAAAGGAACAUAAUCAGUAAAAUCAGAAAAAAACAGGCAAGUUGGCCAGAACUUUUAGAAAGAGAUAUAAAUUAGAGAGCAAGCAAAAUUAUGGAGUGCUUGCCUUUAAUGAAAGGAAUGAGGCUCUCCAAGAGUAAGGUGAGAUCCAGCACUGCAGAAAUAAAAGUCCUGGUGACAGCCAGACUGUACACAUUCCAUUCUGCCACUGAGUCCCUGAUGCCAUGGCAAUGACAUCAUAAUGACCCCAGUGCAAGUGAAGUGAUCCGGUGAACUAGAGCUUGCUGAAAGGUGUGGACGGGAGCUUGACGGAGGCUUGCGUCCAUGAUAAAAGGCAAGAUUAAAGUGUUCGUUUGAAUCUGUAAGUGUGGGCCCUCUUUGGUAAGGUUUACUUGUGCUCCUGGCUCUGAUUUGAAGUCAAAAUUAGGUGACUCCAGCCCCAAGAUAUUGCUACUGUUGCCAAAGAGGAAGUGAAGGUCAUUGUGUCUGUCAGAAAGGGAAAGGAGAAAAGUCAAUUUGCUUACUCAGUGAUGGUCUUUCUGAAAGAUUCUCCAUUCAUUCCAUAGAGUCAGACAGUUUGCUUGGUCUCAAGAGGAUUUUGUACCUUUGAUUCAUAAAGAGAACUUCCUUUGGAGAGAACAGUCAAAGGGGCUUCUCUCCUGUGUGUAUUCGCUGAUGUGUAACAAGAUUACCUUUGGCCCUGAAGCUUUUCCCACAGUGGAUCUUCCUGCAGUGUCUUAGCAUCUGGGGAUUUUUGUUCCAGCUUCUCUCUUCUGAAAGAAUUCUGGAUAUCCCAGCUUGAGGAUCCUGUGGCCUCAGAAUGAUCAUAUUUGUGCUUGUAGGCUUUUCCUGUAACCUCCAGGCACAGUAAGCUCCAUCAAAAGAAGGUCUCCCCUGCUUCCUCAGACUGCCGACCAGUGACGU